RNAcentral lists this long non-coding RNA (1064 nucleotides) under Fukomys damarensis (Damara mole-rat). RNAcentral describes it as "lncRNA (ENSFDAG00000025098.1)". Lineage: Eukaryota; Metazoa; Chordata; Mammalia; Rodentia; Bathyergidae. The record is from RNAcentral.
UUUCAAUCCACUUUGUUAAGGAAUAUGGAGAAGUAAAACCCUUGAUGAUUACACACUCUAUUAGCAGUGACAGUGUGAGCUCACCCCGUUUGCCAUCUUCCCGGGAGAGCCCCCUACUUGGAGGUUUAUAGCUUGUGUACCAGGCAUGGAUAACAAUGGAAGUCGACCUGUGACUCUGUAAAGCCUCCUCUAAGCCUGCACCAGUGACCAAGCGAAGCGCUGUCGGAUAUGGACUCGCAGACUCCAAGAGCAUCACCGAAGUCACACUCUGGAAUCAAGGCUUUGUGAGAAAGAGAAAGGGAACAGGCUGCAGCAAAGGAUCUUAGGGUUGGGCUAAUGAAGAGAUGGCAUGGGAGAGAGAAAAAUUUAGUAGUCGGGGAAAUGGGAGAAAAGCUAAUGAGUUCAGGAAACAAAAAGGUGGAGCCCCGAGUCCAUGCUCCAGGAAACAGAACGAGGAACUAGUAAUCCAUUGCUGUGGAAAUGUUGAUUUCAUAAAAGUGAUUUCCACACUGUACAGCUCGGUGAAUUGUCCUUUCUGCCAACACCAGAAUUAGGUAAAAAAGGUGUUCAAAAUAAGCCAGACACACAUUGACCAAAAGGAACCCUGAAGAUGUUUGGCCUCGCGAUGCUUUUGGCAGCGCUGCCUGCAGAGCAAUGGAGAGGUGGAUGGACAGGGAGGAAAAUGAGUCUCACUUAGAGUGUGGACAAGAUCAGAGCUUCUACCCCAGACACCGGGAGUAAUCAGGCAUCCUUACAUGGGUUUCCGGGGUAUCUGAACACCAUGAAAAUAUUUACUGAACUUUUACUGAAAACAUUUUCUGUAGCUAUUUCAUUGAUUCUCCUAAACCCUCACAGGCAUUCAGGGUAUUUGGAAUACACUAGGGUCCAGAAGUAGCAGAGCCUUUUUCUGCUGUAAAAUUCUAUAAAGCCAUAUAUCUGAGAACAAGAAAUUUAAUUGCUCUAUUUUUAAACUCUAUGUGUGUGCCAUGGAAAGGACUCCAAAUCUCACGGACUCUGCAUUUUAAUGUGACCACAUUCCUAGGACAGGAGAAUGUUCAAAGGCC